AUUGAACGCUGGCGGCAGGCCUAACACAUGCAAGUCGAACGGUAACAGGAAGAAGCUUGCUUCUUUGCUGACGAGUGGCGGACGGGUGAGUAAUGUCUGGGAAACUGCCUGAUGGAGGGGGGUAACUACUGGAAACGGUAGCUAAUACCGCAUAACGUCGCAAGACCAAAAAGGGGGACCUUCGGGCCUCUUGCCAUCGGAUGUGCCCAGAUGGGAUUAGCUAGUAGGUGGGGUAACGGCUCACCUAGGCGACGAUCCCUAGCUGGUCUGAGAGGAUGACCAGCCACACUGGAACUGAGACACGGUCCAGACUCCUACGGGAGGCAGCAGUGGGGAAUAUUGGACAAAGGGCGCAAGCCUGAUGCAGCCAUGCCGCGUGUAUGAAGAAGGCCUUCGGGUUGUAAAGUACUUUCAGCGGGGAGGAAGGGAGUAAAGUUAAUACCUUUGCUCAUUGACGUUACCCGCAGAAGAAGCACCGGCUAACUCCGUG
RNAcentral lists this ribosomal RNA (490 nucleotides) under uncultured bacterium. RNAcentral describes it as "partial 16S ribosomal RNA". It matches the Rfam family "Bacterial small subunit ribosomal RNA", at positions 30 to 507 of the family's 1533-position model. The record is from RNAcentral.